This 976-nucleotide ribosomal RNA is filed under the name Lactobacillus acidophilus. RNAcentral's name for it is "bacterial SSU rRNA". It matches the Rfam family "Bacterial small subunit ribosomal RNA", at positions 399 to 1364 of the family's 1533-position model. The record is from RNAcentral. Lineage: Bacteria; Bacillati; Bacillota; Bacilli; Lactobacillales; Lactobacillaceae.
GCGUGAGUGAAGAAGGGUUCCGGCUCGUAAAACUCUGUUGUUAAAGAAGAACAUAUCUGAGAGUAACUGUUCAGGUAUUGACGGUAUUUAACCAGAAAGCCACGGCUAACUACGUGCCAGCAGCCGCGGUAAUACGUAGGUGGCAAGCGUUGUUCCGGAUUUACUGGGGCGUAAAGCGAGACGCAGGCGGUUUUUUUAAGUCUGAUGUGAAAGCUUUCGGCUCAACCGAAGAAGUGCAUCGGAAAAUGGGAAACUUGAGUGCAGAAGAGGACAGUGGAACUCCAUGUGUAGCGGUGAAAUGCGUAGAUAUAUGGAAGAACACCAGUGGCGAAGGCGGCUGUCUGGUCUGUAACUGACGCUGAGGCUCGAAAGUAUGGGUAGCAAACAGGAUUAGAUACCCUGGUAGUCCAUACCGUAAACGAUGAAUGCUAAGUGUUGGAGGGUUUCCGCCCUUCAGUGCUGCAGCUAACGCAUUAAGCAUUCCGCCUGGGGAGUACGGCCGCAAGGCUGAAACUCAAAGGAAUUGACGGGGGCCCGCACAAGCGGUGGAGCAUGUGGUUUAAUUCGAAGCUACGCGAAGAACCUUACCAGGUCUUGACAUACUAUGCAAAUCUAAGAGAUUAGACGUUCCCUUCGGGGACAUGGAUACAGGUGGUGCAUGGUUGUCGUCAGCUCGUGUCGUGAGAUGUUGGGUUAAGUCCCGCAACGAGCGCAACCCUUAUUAUCAGUUGCCAGCAUUAAGUUGGGCACUCUGGUGAGACUGCCGGUGACAAACCGGAGGAAGGUGGGGAUGACGUCAAAUCAUCAUGCCCCUUAUGACCUGGGCUACACACGUGCUACAAUGGAUGGUACAACGAGUUGCGAACUCGCGAGAGUAAGCUAAUCUCUUAAAGCCAUUCUCAGUUCGGAUUGUAGGCUGCAACUCGCCUACAUGAAGUCGGAAUCGCUAGUAAUCGCGGAUCAGCAUGCCGCGGUG